RNAcentral lists this ribosomal RNA (889 nucleotides) under uncultured bacterium. Its description in RNAcentral is "bacterial SSU rRNA". It matches the Rfam family "Bacterial small subunit ribosomal RNA", at positions 7 to 877 of the family's 1533-position model. The record is from RNAcentral.
GAGGGUUUGAUCCUGGCUCAGGAUGAACGCUGGCGGCGUGCCUAAUACAUGCAAGUCGAGCGAACGGACGAGAAGCUUGCUUCUCUGAUGUUAGCGGCGGACGGGUGAGUAACACGUGGAUAACCUACCUAUAUGACUGGGAUAACUUCGGGAAACCGGAGCUAAUACCGGAUAAUAUUUUGAACCGCAUGGUUCAAAAGUGAAAGACGGUCUUGCUGUCACUUAUAGAUGGAUCCGCGCUGCAUUAGCUAGUUGGUAAGGUAACGGCUUACCAAGGCAACGAUGCAUAGCCGACCUGAGAGGGUGAUCGGCCACACUGGAACUGAGACACGGUCCAGACUCCUACGGGAGGCAGCAGUAGGGAAUCUUCCGCAAUGGGCGAAAGCCUGACGGAGCAACGCCGCGUGAGUGAUGAAGGUCUUCGGAUCGUAAAACUCUGUUAUUAGGGAAGAACAUAUGUGUAAGUAACUGUGCACAUCUUGACGGUACCUAAUCAGAAAGCCACGGCUAACUACGUGCCAGCAGCCGCGGUAAUACGUAGGUGGCAAGCGUUAUCCGGAAUUAUUGGGCGUAAAGCGCGCGUAGGCGGUUUUUUAAGUCUGAUGUGAAAGCCCACGGCUCAACCGUGGAGGGUCAUUGGAAACUGGAAAACUUGAGUGCAGAAGAGGAAAGUGGAAUUCCAUGUGUAGCGGUGAAAUGCGCAGAGAUAUGGAGGAACACCAGUGGCGAAGGCGACUUUCUGGUCUGUAACUGACGCUGAUGUGCGAAAGCGUGGGGAUCAAACAGGAUUAGAUACCCUGGUAGUCCACGCCGUAAACGAUGAGUGCUAAGUGUUAGGGGGUUUCCGCCCCUUAGUGCUGCAGCUAACGCAUUAAGCACUCCGCCUGGG